RNAcentral lists this ribosomal RNA (363 nucleotides) under Pseudomonas aeruginosa. Its description in RNAcentral is "bacterial SSU rRNA". It matches the Rfam family "Bacterial small subunit ribosomal RNA", at positions 1171 to 1533 of the family's 1533-position model. The record is from RNAcentral. RNAcentral also lists the same sequence under 1 other name. Lineage: Bacteria; Pseudomonadati; Pseudomonadota; Gammaproteobacteria; Pseudomonadales; Pseudomonadaceae.
AGGUGGGGAUGACGUCAAGUCAUCAUGGCCCUUACGGCCAGGGCUACACACGUGCUACAAUGGUCGGUACAAAGGGUUGCCAAGCCGCGAGGUGGAGCUAAUCCCAUAAAACCGAUCGUAGUCCGGAUCGCAGUCUGCAACUCGACUGCGUGAAGUCGGAAUCGCUAGUAAUCGUGAAUCAGAAUGUCACGGUGAAUACGUUCCCGGGCCUUGUACACACCGCCCGUCACACCAUGGGAGUGGGUUGCUCCAGAAGUAGCUAGUCUAACCGCAAGGGGGACGGUUACCACGGAGUGAUUCAUGACUGGGGUGAAGUCGUAACAAGGUAGCCGUAGGGGAACCUGCGGCUGGAUCACCUCCUUA